GAUGAGCGCUGGCGGUAUGCCUAACACAUGCAAGUCGUACGCCUCACUUCGGUGAGGAGUGGCGGACGGGUGAGUAACACGUUAGUACCUGCCCCAAAGUGGGGAAUAACUGCCCGAAAGGGUAGCUAAUACCCCAUAGUCUCCGGUUUAUCCGGAGUAAAGAUUUAUCGCUUUGGGAGGGGCUUGCGUUUGAUUAGCUAGUUGGUGAGGGUAAUGGCCCACCAAGGCGACGAUCAAUAGCUGGAUCGAGAGGUUGACCAGCCACACUGGGACUGAGAUACGGCCCAGACUCCUACGGGAGGCAGCAGUGAGGAAUCUUCCACAAUGGGCGAAAGCCUGAUGGAGCAAUACCGCGUGCAGGAUGAAGCUUUUCGGAGUGUAAACUGCUUUUCUGAAGGAAGAUUAUGACGGUACUUCAGGAAUAAGGAUCGGCUAACUACGUGCCAGCAGCCGACGGUAAAAGUCACGUCG
RNAcentral lists this ribosomal RNA (471 nucleotides) under uncultured bacterium. Its description in RNAcentral is "bacterial SSU rRNA". It matches the Rfam family "Bacterial small subunit ribosomal RNA", at positions 28 to 535 of the family's 1533-position model. The record is from RNAcentral.